AAUUUUCCUUUUUACCCUCUCUCCCCCUCCUCUCUCUGGGUUCGGAGGGAACUUCUCUGCAGACCUAAAAUUCCCAUUCCCAACUGCCAUUUUCAUGCUCUCACUGAACCUGAGACCCCUCUCAAUCAUGAGCAAGAGACAAAGACCCAUUCAAUCUCCUCCAUCAACCCCUCCAACCCCACAAACCCGCAACCCCAAAAGACCCAAAACCAUCCUCAAACCCACCAAAUGGGUCCCACUCAAUCUCACCCAAUCCGAGCUCUCCUUGCCCCUCACCUUCCCCACCGGCCAAACCUUCAGGUGGAGACAGACCGGCCCUCUUCAGUACACAGGCGUUGUUGGGUCCCACUUAGUAUCCCUCAGGCACCUCGAAAACGGCGACGUUUCCUACUGCCUUCACCACACCACCACCUCCGAAACCAAUGCCAAGUUGGCCUUGCUCGACCUUCUUAAUGUGGGUAUUUCUCUGGCUGGCAUUUGGGAGGUUUUCUCGGCCUCGGAUUCAAGGUUUGCUGAGCUCGCGAGCUAUUUGGGCGGUGCGCGAGUGCUUAGGCAAGACCCAGUUGAGUGUUUGAUUCAGUUUCUUUGUUCAUCAAAUAACAACAUCCAGAGAAUUACCAAAAUGGUAGAUUUUGUAUCUUCGUUGGGGAACCAUUUGGGUUCUGUUGGAGGUUUUGAGUUCCAUGAAUUUCCAUCUUUAGAGCGCUUGUCAAUGGUCUCAGAGAAAGAGUUCAGAGAGGCUGGUUUUGGCUAUAGGGCCAAGUACAUAACUGGCACUGUAAAAGCUUUGCAAUUGAAACCUGGUGGAGGAGCAGAGUGGCUUUUGUCUCUGCGUAAAACGGAGCUCGAAGAGGGGAUUGAAGCUCUUUCCACAUUGCCUGGAGUUGGUCCUAAGGUGGCAGCAUGUAUAGCUCUUUUCUCGCUUGAUCAACACCAUGCCAUUCCUGUUGAUACACACGUGUGGCAGAUUGCUACUAGAUACCUCAUACCCGAGCUAGCAGGUGCUCGUCUGACACCUAAGCUCUGCGGCCGUGUGGCGGAGGCAUUUGUGAGUAAAUAUGGGAAAUAUGCUGGCUGGGCUCAAACUCUGCUUUUUAUUGCUGAAUUACCUUCCCAAAAAGCCCUUCUACCAGCACAUUUUUCGAAUGCAAAAGAGAGUAAAGCUGCAAAGAAGAAGGAUCGUAAAUCGCACACUGCAGUGGAUACUUCAAUAGUUUAUUAACAUGACUUGACAAUUGGAAUCUGCAUGUUUGAGUUAAAACCUUCUAGUUCGAUGAUUGCAUCACACUGACAAUGUGCAAGAUGAUUUUCUCCAAAACAAUUUAACUCCUCCUCGCAAAUCAGGACUCAGGAAGAUGAACAAUAGUGAAAUAUAAGCUGCUUAUUGGAAGUAAAUUGCCUGGUUCGGUCAAAUUCAGCCAACUCAUUUCUAGUUAAUGAUUUACCUGAAAGUGUACCAAAGUUUUCAGCUGAAUCAAACUUUUGAGCUACCUGCCAAGAUCGUGUAGCAUGUUGUGCACUUACCUGUUGAAGGAGCCAUUUCAGUACCCGAAAAAUACAUAUGAAAUAUCUGAGCUAAUUGCUGCUGCUGUGUGGAGUUUCAUGAAUGAUAAGUGUUGAAGGCUACUUUUUUGCAGUCUGGUAGGAUACUGAUUGACUUUGGUGACAAUUGAUAUGAAGAUUCUUGAAAGAGGACAGUGGCAUGUUUAGGUCCCUUGUUCACCAAGAAAGCAGCACAUUCUCCUGAUUGUACUUUGAAGACAUAAGCCUGGUGGACAAACAUCGAAACCGUUGGCCCAAAGAGAUACUAGUUUGGUCUCCAGAAAGUAGAGCACUGGAGGCUAGCUUCACUGCAGCAUGCAAUUCCUUAAGAUGACCCCAUUUUGGUUGCCUUAUUGAACCUGUAGAAUUCAUCAGCUAAACAGUUUCAAAUACCAAAUACAAGAAGAGGCAAAUAUGCUCCAAGGAAAAAGAUUGUAGAAAAUCCUACCGUACUCAUCAA
RNA transcript from Prunus avium (sweet cherry), 2002 nucleotides. It is a transcript of the gene named 8-oxoguanine-DNA glycosylase 1, with no coding region annotated. NCBI's taxonomy places the organism in Eukaryota, Viridiplantae, Streptophyta, Magnoliopsida, Rosales, Rosaceae. The record is from RefSeq and is a predicted model, not a curated record.